Molecule: ribosomal RNA, 497 nt
Filed under: uncultured bacterium
Lineage: Bacteria
Description: partial 16S ribosomal RNA
Rfam family: Bacterial small subunit ribosomal RNA
Source: RNAcentral
GAUGAACGCUGGCGGCGUGCCUAAUACAUGCAAGUCGAGCGAACAGACGAGGAGCUUGCUCCUCUGACGUUAGCGGCGGACGGGUGAGUAACACGUGGAUAACCUACCUAUAAGACUGGGAUAACUUCGGGAAACCGGAGCUAAUACCGGAUAAUAUAUUGAACCGCAUGGUUCAAUAGUGAAAGACGGUUUUGCUGUCACUUAUAGAUGGAUCCGCGCCGCAUUAGCUAGUUGGUAAGGUAACGGCUUACCAAGGCAACGAUGCGUAGCCGACCUGAGAGGGUGAUCGGCCACACUGGAACUGAGACACGGUCCAGACUCCUACGGGAGGCAGCAGUAGGGAAUCUUCCGCAGUGGGCGGAAGCUUGACGGAGCAACGCCGCGUGAGUGAUGAAGGUCUUCGGAUCGUAAAACUCUGUUAUUAGGGAAGAACAAAUGUGUAAGUAACUAUGCACGUCUUGACGGUACCUAAUCAGAAAGCCACGGCUAACUACGUG